UAAAAGCCAGAAGCGUGCGGCGGUCUAAAAUUACAUCGACGUGAUGGUGAUUUGCAGCUCGGUGGAUUUAAUUGGACAACAGCACAUCUUGAUCGGCGAGGCGUUCACUUCGCCGUCGGCUCGCCUUCCUUGCGUCACAUGAACGAGCAUGAAAGCUUUACAGUAAACACGUUGGCGGGAAAGACGGUGCCUCAUUAAGCCGAACCGUGGAUGCGGAAAGGCGCGUCUUUCGCCGUGGCAACCAUUCUCUUCUUCAUUCACAACCUCCCGGGAGUUGGGAUCAUCCCCCCCUGGCCCCCGGACUCCCUUCCACGAGCAGUCCAUGAGUCAGAAUGUGCUACAUGAACACAUACAGUAUUCACCAGGAGAGGAGAAAAGACGCCAAUAAAAGGUGGAGCCGCUCACCCCCUCCCUCGGUGGAUGAAUGAAUGAAUGGAGGUACUAUUGGUCAGCUCGCGGUGGAAAAUACGAGGAGCAGAGAGCAGGUUUCGGUGAGAAAAUGGUGGUAAUAAGUCGGCUCUUACCGGAGACAUGAGCGGAGCUUGCGUCCUCCUGCUGCUGUCAAAGAGGCAGCUGUGACUUUCUGGGCUCCUCCAUGGCUUCCAUCAGACUUUCAGGUGGUCCUUGGCUAAGGCCUAGUACCUGACUACCCAGGGAUACGGUGAAGACCUCAACGACCGAACGGGUGGAAGACGGUAGAUGUAAGAACUACCACAACGGCUGCGAUGGCGGAAGAAGGCUGCAGCAGAAAAGGGUCCCCAGUCGUCUUGGACUCCAUGCCACUGGACCCUGACCCGAUUCUAUCAAGGAUGGUGUGGUGACUGUCUGAGCACCAGUCUCACCACGUUAAACAAAGUCACACACAGGUUUUCUCCAUAAAGGGAUACACCCCUACCAGGAGGAUCGUCAUACCGUCAACGAUGAUGCCACCCUGGAGAAGUCGCCACCUCAUCGCCGGGCCAACCGAUAUAGAAAGACAACAUUCACACACUAGGGACUAUUUAGUGUUGCCAAUCAACCUAUCCCGAGGUGCAUGUCUUUGGAAGUGGGAGGAAGCCGGAGUACCCAGAGGGAACCCACGCAGUCACGGGGAGAACAUGCAAACUCCACACAGAGAGAUCCCGAGACCGGAAUUGAACUCGGGACCUUCGUAUUGUGAGGCACAUGCACUCACAACCCCUGUGUAACCGUGCAUCUACAUCAACUAUGUGAUUUGCCUGAGAAGUUGGACAGGACAAAAUAAAUAAAUAGAUAAAUAAAAUAAAAUAGAAUAAAAUAAAAUAGAAUCAAAUAAAAAAUAUAAGUGAAUAAAUGUAUAUAUGCAUAAAAAUGUGUUUUCUUUUGUUUAUAUGUAUAUAUUUUUUAAUGAAUUAGGUAAUGUUUAUGACAACCUUUUUGCGAUGGGAUGCGACGUGGAGGUGUCGGUUUCCCUGAUCUAUUGGACAGCCACCGGAAGACCUUGUCAUGACCCCGAGAUCUACAAAGCAGAGAAGGAGCAGAACCUGAAACCGCUCCAGGCACCUUGUCUUUAAACUGUUUAUGACCGAGGGCAUUAGCUGUUUAUGACCCCCUCCCCUUAGAAACAGCUGCAGCCAUGUAAUCAGGAAAUGCUCGAAUAAACGAGGAGGCUUGGAUCUCCCUCCUCCGAGGGUACAAGUGCA
Molecule: long non-coding RNA, 1661 nt
Organism: Nerophis ophidion (straightnose pipefish)
Lineage: Eukaryota; Metazoa; Chordata; Actinopteri; Syngnathiformes; Syngnathidae
Exons: 3
Source: RefSeq, a predicted model, not a curated record